Molecule: ribosomal RNA, 403 nt
Filed under: bacterium
Lineage: Bacteria
Description: partial 16S ribosomal RNA
Rfam family: Bacterial small subunit ribosomal RNA
Source: RNAcentral
UGGGGAAUAUUGCACAAUGGGCGAAAGCCUGAUGCAGCAACGCCGCGUGAGCGAUGAAGGCCUUCGGGUCGUAAAGCUCUGUCCUCAAGGAAGAUAAUGACGGUACUUGAGGAGGAAGCCCCGGCUAACUACGUGCCAGCAGCCGCGGUAAUACGUAGGGGGCUAGCGUUAUCCGGAAUUACUGGGCGUAAAGGGUGCGUAGGUGGUUUCUUAAGUCAGAGGUGAAAGGCUACGGCUCAACCGUAGUAAGCCUUUGAAACUGGGGAACUUGAGUGCAGGAGAGGAGAGUGGAAUUCCUAGUGUAGCGGUGAAAUGCGAAGAUAUUAGGAGGAACACCAGUUGCGAAGGCGGCUCUCUGGACUGUAACUGACACUGAGGCACGAAAGCGUGGGGAGCAAACAGG